RNAcentral lists this transfer RNA (61 nucleotides) under Homidia socia. Its description in RNAcentral is "tRNA-Arg". Lineage: Eukaryota; Metazoa; Arthropoda; Collembola; Entomobryomorpha; Entomobryidae. The record is from RNAcentral.
ACUAAGGAAGCGAUUAUUUGCUAUCAGUUUCGACCUGAUUCUAGGUUUAAACCCCUUUGUU